GACGAACGCUGGCGGCGUGCUUAACACAUGCAAGUCGCACGGCCCGCAAGGGCAGUGGCGGACGGGUGCGUAACACGUGAGGAAUGUGCCCUUCGGCGGGGGAUAGCCGGCCCAACGGCCGGGUAAUACCGCAUACGCAGCUCGAGAGGCAUCUCUUGGGUUGGAAAGCAGCAAUGCACCGAUGGAGCACCUCGCGGCCUAUCAGCUAGUUGGUGGGGUAACGGCCCACCAAGGCGACGACGGGUAGCUG
RNAcentral lists this ribosomal RNA (250 nucleotides) under uncultured bacterium. RNAcentral's name for it is "partial 16S ribosomal RNA". It matches the Rfam family "Bacterial small subunit ribosomal RNA", at positions 28 to 289 of the family's 1533-position model. The record is from RNAcentral.